This 531-nucleotide ribosomal RNA is filed under the name uncultured Bacillota bacterium. Its description in RNAcentral is "bacterial SSU rRNA". It matches the Rfam family "Bacterial small subunit ribosomal RNA", at positions 8 to 522 of the family's 1533-position model. Lineage: Bacteria; Bacillati; Bacillota. The record is from RNAcentral.
AGAGUUUGAUCAUGGCUCAGGACGAACGCUGGCGGCGUGCCUAAUACAUGCAAGUCGAGCGAACCUGCAGGAGCUUGCUCCUGUUGGUUAGCGGCGGACGGGUGAGUAACACGUGGGCAACCUGCCUGUAAGACUGGGAUAACACCGGGAAACCGGUGCUAAUACCGGAUAAUCCUUUUCCUCUCAUGAGGAAAAGCUGAAAGUCGGUUUCGGCUGACACUUACAGAUGGGCCCGCGGCGCAUUAGUUAGUUGGUGAGGUAACGGCUCACCAAGGCGACGAUGCGUAGCCGACCUGAGAGGGUGAUCGGCCACACUGGGACUGAGACACGGCCCAGACUCCUACGGGAGGCAGCAGUAGGGAAUCUUCCACAAUGGACGAAAGUCUGAUGGAGCAACGCCGCGUGAGCGAUGAAGGCCUUCGGGUCGUAAAGCUCUGUUGUUAGGGAAGAACAAGUACCGGAGUAACUGCCGGUACCUUGACGGUACCUAACCAGAAAGCCACGGCUAACUACGUGCCAGCAGCCGCGGUA